GAGUUUGAUCCUGGCUCAGAACGAACGCUGGCGGCGUGCCUAACACAUGCAAGUCGAACGUGAUCCAGAGCUUGCUCUGGUGAAAGUGGCGCACGGGUGAGUAACGCGUGGAUAACCUACCCUGGUAUCCGGGAUAACAUUCCGAAAGGGGUGCUAAUACCGGAUAAGCCCACGGGCUCUUUGGAGCUUGCGGGAAAAGGUGGCCUCUAUUUAUAAGCUACUGUAUCAGGAUGGGUCCGCGUACCAUUAGCUAGUUGGCGGUGUAACGGACCACCAAGGCGACGAUGGUUAGCUGGUCUGAGAGGAUGAUCAGCCACACUGGAACUGAGACACGGUCCAGACUCCUACGGGAGGCAGCAGUGGGGAAUUUUGCGCAAUGGGGGAAACCCUGACGCAGCAACGCCGCGUGAGUGAUGAAGGCCUUUGGGUCGUGAAGCUCUGUCAGAGGGGAAGAAAUGAUAUAGUGCUAAUACCACUUUAUCUUGACGGUACCCUCAAAGGAAGCACCGGCUAACUCCGUGCCAGCAGCCGCGGUAAUAC
Molecule: ribosomal RNA, 540 nt
Filed under: uncultured Geobacteraceae bacterium
Lineage: Bacteria; Pseudomonadati; Thermodesulfobacteriota; Desulfuromonadia; Geobacterales; Geobacteraceae
Description: bacterial SSU rRNA
Rfam family: Bacterial small subunit ribosomal RNA
Source: RNAcentral